Molecule: ribosomal RNA, 254 nt
Filed under: uncultured bacterium
Lineage: Bacteria
Description: partial 16S ribosomal RNA
Rfam family: Bacterial small subunit ribosomal RNA
Source: RNAcentral
UACGUAGGCAGCGAGCGUUGUUCGGAGUUACUGGGCGUAAAGGGUGUGUAGGCGGUUGUUUAAGUUUGGGGUGAAAUCUCCCGGCUCAACUGGGAGGGUGCGCCGAAUACUGAAUGACUUGGAGUGCGGGAGAGGAGAGUGGAAUUCCUGGUGUAGCGGUGAAAUGCGUAGAUAUCAGGAGGAACACCUGUGGUGUAGACAGCUUACUGGACCAUUUCUGACGCUGAGACACGAAAGCGUGGGUAGCAAACAGG